Non-coding RNA from Paramuricea clavata, 1213 nucleotides. The record is from the annotation of a GenBank genome assembly. NCBI's taxonomy places the organism in Eukaryota, Metazoa, Cnidaria, Anthozoa, Malacalcyonacea, Plexauridae.
AGAAAAUUAUAUUGGGAAGUUGUCAUUUCGACAGUAAAAACAGCUUUUUUUCAAGUAGUACGAAAUGUGACUUCGAUUUAUCUGUGGAACUAUUUGAACAGAAGGUAAAGCAGUAAUUUUGUUGUAUUUAGAAAGCAAACAGGGUCAUAUUUUUAAAAAUAUAGCGCACUGAAUAUAAAUUUGAGCAUCAUUAAAAUGUGUUCGCUAUGAUGCCAUUUUGUCUUCGGUAUAUACGGAGUAGUGGAGUACUGCUUUUAUACUGGUGGAUAUUCGAAUUUAUUUGGCUCAAAAACACCAUUACUUCAAUAUCCCUUUCUUGUUUUUCCUUGGAUAGGUUUUAACAAGAUAGAACUCUAGAUCACUUGGGUCCAAAGACGCUAGAUUAUAAAAUCCUGAUGUGACUUGAUACUACAAAUAGAAUAUGUCUUAUGAUUUAAUACCACAAAUAGAAUGUCUUUUAAGUACAAACUUCAAUGAAUUGAUAAAGUGUAAGGAUAGUGUUUAAAGUCGCUUCAUGUGUAGAAGCUGAAUUACUUUAGUUUAUACACUGUAUUGUCAAGUUCACAUGUUGAUAUGACUUACUAACAACUUGCAAUAAGUGGUCUGUUCUGCUUGUUUAUAAAACUUUAGAGUUUGGACAUUAGAACAUUGUAAUUGCCUGACAGAGACUGUUAGGGCCUGUUUGUAUGGAAGCCGGGCUGGCCCGCUUAGCAAGACAGCCCGGUAAGGUAGGUAAGCAGGAUGAUUUCUCUUGUGUUUAUUUGAGAAAAUUUCAUCCCACUUACCGGGACAAUUUUGUUGUUUUGACAUUAUUUUGACAGUUGUUAAAAAUAGCUUGCGGCAGUAUCUUUGAACUUUCAUCCCGGCAACCGGGCUAGCCUGCUUAUGAUUGUUUAUGUGGAGAAAUUUCCAUCCUGGUCUUGGCAACCAGGCCUGCCCGCUUGUCCAUAGAAAUGAUAAUAUUUACUAUAAAAAUAACUAGACAGCAAAAUCUCACUUACCGGGCUGUCUCACUUAGCGGGCCAGCCAGUUUCAAUAUAAACAGGCCCUUAGACAAGUGCUAAAAGCUGCAAGUUUCUUUAAAGCAAUAUCAUCUAUAUAUCACAGAAUACAGUUUCUGUAGUGACAUACUUGUGUAACUUUUUCUGUCUUUAAAGUGUAUUAUGUUUGUAAUAUUUUUGUACAAUACCUUAUUGAAAUUGUUGAUACUGGU